UUCCGGUUGAUCCUGCCGGAGGCCAUUGCUAUCGGGGUCCGAUUUAGCCAUGCUAGUUGUACGAGUUCAGACUCGUAGCAAAUAGCUCCGUAACACGUGGCCAAACCACCCUCCAGAGAACCAUACCCUCGGGAAACUGAGGCUAAUAGUUCAUACCCGUCUCACGCUGGAAUGCCGAGACGCGAAAACGUUCCGACGCUGGAGGACGUGGCUGCGGCCGAUUAGGUAGACGGUGGGGUAACGGCCCACCGUGCCGAUAAUCGGUACGGGUUGUGAGAGCAAGAACCCGGAGACGGAAUCUGAGACAAGAUUCCGGGCCCUACGGGGCGCAGCAGGCGCGAAACCUUUACACUGCACGCAAGUGCGAUAAGGGGACCCCGAGUGCGAGGGCAUACAGUCCUCGCUUUUCACUACCGUAAGGUGGUAGUGGAAUAAGAGCUGGGCAAGACCGGUGCCAGCCGCCGCGGUAAUACCGGCAGCUCGAGUGAUGGCCGAUUUUAUUGGGCCUAAAGCGUCCGUAGCCGGCCGAGCAAGUUCAUCGGGAAAUCCGCCAGCCCAACUGGCGGGCGUCCGGUGAAAACUGCACGGCUCGGGACCGGAAGACCCGAAGGGUACGUCUUGGGUAGGAGUGAAAUCCCGUAAUCCUGGACGGACCACCGAUGGCGAAAGCACUUCGGGAAGACGGAUCCGACGGUGAGGGACGAAAGCCAGGGUCUCGAACCGGAUUAGAUACCCGGGUAGUCCUGGCCGUAAACGAUGUCUGCUAGGUGCGGCUCCCACUACGAGUGGGUGCUGUGCCGUAGGGAAGCCGCUAAGCAGACCGCCUGGGAAGUACGUCCGCAAGGAUGAAACUUAAAGGAAUUGGCGGGGGAGCACUACAACCGGAGGAGCCUGCGGUUUAAUUGGACUCAACGCCGGU
Molecule: ribosomal RNA, 919 nt
Filed under: uncultured archaeon
Lineage: Archaea
Description: bacterial SSU rRNA
Rfam family: Archaeal small subunit ribosomal RNA
Source: RNAcentral